RNAcentral lists this ribosomal RNA (353 nucleotides) under uncultured soil bacterium. RNAcentral's name for it is "bacterial SSU rRNA". It matches the Rfam family "Bacterial small subunit ribosomal RNA", at positions 26 to 381 of the family's 1533-position model. The record is from RNAcentral.
AGAUUGAACGCUGGCGGCAUGCCUUACACAUGCAAGUCGAACGGUAGAGUAGCAAUACUUGAGAGUGGCGAACGGGUGAGUAAUAUAUCGGAACGUGCCCAGUCGUGGGGGAUAACGUAGAGAAAUUUACGCUAAUACCGCAUACGAUCUAAGGAUGAAAGCGGGGACCGUAAGGCCUCGCGCGAUUGGAGCGGCUGAUAUCAGAUUAGGUUGUUGGUGAGGUAAAAGCUCACCAAGCCGACGAUCUGUAGCUGGUUUGAGAGAACGACCAGCCACACUCGGGACUGAGACACGGCCCAGACCUCCGUACGGGAGGCAGGCGAGGUGGGAAUUUGGACUAAGUGGGACGAAAG